Molecule: ribosomal RNA, 491 nt
Filed under: uncultured bacterium
Lineage: Bacteria
Description: bacterial SSU rRNA
Rfam family: Bacterial small subunit ribosomal RNA
Source: RNAcentral
CAUGCAAGUCAACGGCUUUCUAUGGAAGCUUGCUUCCACUGAGAAGAUAGUGGCGAACGGGUGAGUAACACGUGGGGUAACCUGCCCAUAAGAGGGGGAUAACAUCCGGAAACGGGUGCUAAUACCGCAUAGUUUUCUUGAUCGCAUGAUUGAGAAAGGAAAGACGGCCUUUGUGCUGCCGCUUAUGGAUGGACCCGCGGCGUAUUAGUUAGUUGGUGAGGUAACGGCUCACCAAGACGAUGAUACGUAGCCGACCUGAGAGGGUGAUCGGCCACAUUGGGACUGAGACACGGCCCAAACUCCUACGGGAGGCAGCAGUAGGGAAUCUUCCGCAAUGGACGAAAGUCUGACGGAGCAACGCCGCGUGAGUGAAGAAAAGGUUUUCGGAUCGUAAAACUCUGUUGUCAGAGAAGAACAAGUUGGAGAGUAACUGCUCCAGCCUUGACGGUAUCUGACCAGAAAGCCACGGCUAACUACGUGCCAGCCGCAGC